UACGUAGGGUGCAAGCGUUAAUCGGAAUUACUGGGCGUAAAGCGUGCGCGGGCGGUUUUGUAAGUCUGUCGUGAAAUCCCCGGGCUCAACCUGGGAAUUGCGAUGGAGACUGCAAGGCUAGAAUCUGGCAGAGGGGGGUAGAAUUCCACGUGUAGCAGUGAAAUGCGUAGAGAUGUGGAGGAACACCGAUGGCGAAGGCAGCCCCCUGGGUCAAGAUUGACGCUCAUGCACGAAAGCGUGGGGAGCAAACAGG
Molecule: ribosomal RNA, 253 nt
Filed under: uncultured bacterium
Lineage: Bacteria
Description: partial 16S ribosomal RNA
Rfam family: Bacterial small subunit ribosomal RNA
Source: RNAcentral